This is a long non-coding RNA of Sitophilus oryzae (rice weevil), 227 nucleotides long. RefSeq lists it as uncharacterized. The record is from RefSeq and is a predicted model, not a curated record. Lineage: Eukaryota; Metazoa; Arthropoda; Insecta; Coleoptera; Curculionidae. The transcript is spliced from 3 exons.
GUCAAUCUGCCUGAACCAAAAAAUUUAGAGACGGUAUCCCUGAAAAGAACGAGCUCUGCCACUAACAUCGAUCAGGCAGAGACAGAGUCUUCGGCGCCAAAGAGAGCUAGACUUGGUUUCCAUAACGAACACUUGGUAAUGCAGGAGGAAGGUGUUUACCUCGUAAAUACCGCAUAUAAAAACCGAAUUGCUACAUACCGGCUUUUAUCAAAUAAAAACAUUACCAG